Molecule: ribosomal RNA, 460 nt
Filed under: uncultured Lentisphaera sp.
Lineage: Bacteria; Pseudomonadati; Lentisphaerota; Lentisphaeria; Lentisphaerales; Lentisphaeraceae
Description: bacterial SSU rRNA
Rfam family: Bacterial small subunit ribosomal RNA
Source: RNAcentral
AAUGAAUGCUGGCGGCAUGGAUUAGGCAUGCAAGUUGAACGAGAAGCCAACUUCGGUUGGUGGAAAGUAGCGAAAGGGUGAGUAACGCGUGAAUGAUCUACCUCUAAGUUCGGAAUAACAGUUGGAAACGACUGCUAAUACCGGAUGUGGAUAUAAAGCUGCAUGGUUUUAUAUCUAAAGAUUUAUCGCUUAGAGAUGAGUUCGCGUGCCAUUAUGCUAGUUGGUAAGGUAACGGCUUACCAAGGCUAUGACGGCUAGGUGGUCUGAGAGGACGAUCACCCACACUGGGACUGAGACACUGCCCAGACUCCUGCGGGAGGCUGCAGUCGAGAAUCUUCCGCAAUGCGCGAAAGCGUGACGGAGCAAUGCCGCGUGAUCGAAGAAGGCCUUCGGGUUGUAAAGAUCUGUCAGGGGGGAAAAAUAUUGAUGGUACCCCCAGAGGAAGCCACGGCUAACUACG